AAAUAUUCCAACACCUGCUUUAGAUUCGAUGGAGUGACGGGGUAGUGAAAGAUCCGCCUGGUGACGGAAUACCAGGUUAAAGGGAGUAGUUAUAUUUUUUACAGGCAAAUCCGUAAGAAAUGACGAACCUGAUAGUACAGCAAAGCUUCGGCAGAGCUGAUAGUGAUCCUAAUCAAACCUCCGAGAAAAACUUCUAAGUUAUGUUUAAAGCAGCCCGUACCGCAAACCGACACAGGUGGGUGGGAUGAAUAUUCUAAGGCGCUCGGGUGAGCCGUGGAGAAGGAACUAGGCAAAUUGACGCUGUAACUUCGGGAUAAAGCGUACCCUCUACGUAAGUAGAAGGUCUCAGUAAAAUGGUGCAACCAACUGUUUAGCAAAAACACAGGGCCCUGCAAAAUCGAAAGAUGACGUAUAGAGCCUGAUACCUGCCCGGUGCUGGAAGGUUAAGGAAGGGUGUUCGUCGCAAGACAAAGCUCCUGACUGAAGCCCCAGUAAACGGCGGCCGUAACGAUAACGGUCCUAAGGUAGCGAAAUUCCUUGUCGGGUAAGUUCCGACCUGCACGAAUGGUCUAAUGAGUUGCACACUGUCUCCUCCACGAGCCCGGUGAAAUUGUAGUAUCGGUGAAGAUGCCGGUUACCCGUCACGGGACGAAAAGACCCCAUGAACCUUCACUACAACUUUGCAUUGAUUUUGAAUUUUUGAUGUGUAGGAUAGUUGGGAGACUUUGAAGCGGUGUCGCUAGGCAUCGUGGAGUCAACGUUGAAAUACCAACCUUUAAACAUUUAGAAUCUAACCCGCCAAUGGUGGGCACAGUGCAUGGUGGGUAGUUUGACUGGGGUGGUCGCCUCCUAAAAUGUAACGGAGGCUUGCAAGGUUCCCUCAGUACGGUUGGUAAUCGUACAUAGAGCGUAUUAGUAUAAGGGAGCUUGACUGUGAGACUUACAAGUCGAGCAGGGACGAAAGUCGGCUAAAGUGAUCCGGUGGUUCUGUAUGGAAGGGCCAUCGCUCAAAGGAUAAAAGGUACUCUGGGGAUAACAGGCUGAUCUCCCCCAAGAGCUCAUAUCGACGGGGAGGUUUGGCACCUCGAUGUCGGUUCGUCACAUCCUGGGGCUGGAGAAGGUCCCAAGGGUUCGGCUGUUCGCCGAUUAAAGUGGCACGUGAACUGGGUUCAGAACGUCGCAAGACAGUUCGGUCCCUAUCUGUGAUGGGCGUUAGUAAAUUGAGAGGACAUGACCUUAGUACGAGAGGACCGGGUCGUAUGUACCGCUGGUGUAUCUGUUGUGCCGCCAGGUGCAAUGCAGAGUAGCUAUGUACAGGCAGGAUAAACGCUGAAAGCAUCUAAGCGUGAAACCUUCCUCAAGA
Molecule: ribosomal RNA, 1363 nt
Filed under: metagenome
Description: bacterial LSU rRNA
Rfam family: Bacterial large subunit ribosomal RNA
Source: RNAcentral